Molecule: ribosomal RNA, 766 nt
Filed under: uncultured bacterium
Lineage: Bacteria
Description: bacterial SSU rRNA
Rfam family: Bacterial small subunit ribosomal RNA
Source: RNAcentral
CAUGCCGCGUGCUUACCAUGCAAGUCGAGCGAUGAAGUUCCUUCGGGAGCGGAUUAGCGGCGAACGGGUGAGGAACACGUGAGGAAUCUGCCUUCUACUCUGGGAUAACUCCGGGAAACCGGGGCUAAUACCGGAUACGAAACCUGAUGGCAUCAUCGGGUUUGGAAAGUUUUUCGGUAGAAGAUGACCUCGCGGCCUAUCAGCUUGUUGGUGAGGUAAUGGCUCACCAAGGCGACGACGGGUAGCCGGCCUGAGAGGGCGACCGGCCACACUGGGACUGAGACACGGCCCAGACUCCUACGGGAGGCAGCAGUGGGGAAUAUUGGGCAAUGGAGGAAACUCUGACCCAGCGACGCCGCGUGCGGGAUGAAGGCCUUCGGGUUGUAAACCGCUUUCAGCAGGGAAGAAGCGAAAGUGACGGUACCUGCAGAAGAAGCACCGGCUAACUAUGUGCCAGCAGCCGCGGUAAUACAUAGGGUGCAAGCGUUGUCCGGAAUUAUUGGGCGUAAAGAGCUCGUAGGUGGUUCGUUACGUCGGAUGUGAAAAUCUGGGGCUCAACCCCAGACCUGCAUUCGAUACGGGCGAACUAGAGUGUGGUAGGGGGGACUGGAAUUCCUGGUGUAGCGGUGGAAUGCGCAGAUAUCAGGAGGAACACCAAUGGCGAAGGCAGGUCUCUGGGCCAUUACUGACACUGAGGAGCGAAAGCGUGGGGAGCGAACAGGAUUAGAUACCCUGGUAGUCCACGCCGUAAACGGUGGGCACUAGU